This 337-nucleotide long non-coding RNA is filed under the name Nicotiana benthamiana. Its description in RNAcentral is "long non-coding RNA (NBEN_LNC012292)". The record is from RNAcentral. Lineage: Eukaryota; Viridiplantae; Streptophyta; Magnoliopsida; Solanales; Solanaceae.
UUGAAUCUUAAACUCUCUACAAAACUCUCUCAAGGUUCUCCGGAAACCCUAGCCACCUCUCACCUUAUUCCACCAUGCUUUCCUAGGAAUCCAUGGCUUCCUAGUCCAGCGACGGCCUAAACUCACCUCCAUUCACCCUUAAAUCAUUGUUUCUUGAAGGCUCGAGGUCUGAUCUCGAUGGUACUCUCUCAAACCUUCACCAAUUCGAAGAUUCGAGCCAUCUACGGCCUUGCUCCAGUAGCUCUUGGUCUUCUGAGCCUCUUUCUGACUACAUUUGACUUAGAUAGGACUUUUCCAGCCUUUCUCAUUUAGGGUUCUUCUGAAACCCUAAUUACUC